CAGUCGCCGCGGUAAUACGAAGGGGGCUAGCGUUGUUCGGAAUUACUGGGCGUAAAGCGCACGUAGGCGGAUAUUUAAGUCAGGGGUGAAAUCCCGCAGCUCAACUGCGGAACUGCCUUUGAUACUGGGUAUCUUGAGUAUGGAAGAGGUUAGUGGAAUUGCGAGUGUAGAGGUGAAAUUCGUAGAUAUUCGCAGGAACACCAGUGGCGAAGGCGGCUAACUGGUCCAUAACUGACGCUGAGGUGCGAAAGCGUGGGGAGCAAACAGGAUUAGAUACCCCAGUAGUCCCUGUCUCUUAUAA
Molecule: ribosomal RNA, 301 nt
Filed under: uncultured bacterium
Lineage: Bacteria
Description: partial 16S ribosomal RNA
Rfam family: Bacterial small subunit ribosomal RNA
Source: RNAcentral